AUAACACCUAGGAAACAGAUGCUAAUACCGGAUAACAACAGAUGAUGCCUAUCAACUGUUUAAAAGAUGGUUCUGCUAUCACUCUUGGAUGGACCUGCGGUGCAUUAGCUAGUUGGUAGGGUAACGGCCUACCAAGGCGAUGAUGCAUAGCCGAGUUGAGAGACUGAUCGGCCACAUUGGGACUGAGACACUGCCCAAACUCCUACGGGAGGCAGCAGAA
Molecule: ribosomal RNA, 220 nt
Filed under: uncultured Lactobacillus sp.
Lineage: Bacteria; Bacillati; Bacillota; Bacilli; Lactobacillales; Lactobacillaceae
Description: partial 16S ribosomal RNA
Rfam family: Bacterial small subunit ribosomal RNA
Source: RNAcentral